This 478-nucleotide ribosomal RNA is filed under the name Hyperolius hutsebauti. RNAcentral's name for it is "partial 16S ribosomal RNA". It matches the Rfam family "Bacterial large subunit ribosomal RNA", at positions 1858 to 2553 of the family's 2925-position model. The record is from RNAcentral. Lineage: Eukaryota; Metazoa; Chordata; Amphibia; Anura; Hyperoliidae.
CCUGCCCAGUGAAUUAAUUUAACGGCCGCGGUAUCUUGACCGUGCAAAGGUAGCAUAAUCAAUUGUUCUUUAAAUAAGGACUAGUAUGAACGGCAUCACGAGGGUUUAACUGUCUCCCUAUUUUAAUCAAUGAAAUUGAUCCCCCCGUGAAGAAGCGGGGAUAAAACUAUAAGACGAAAAGACCCCAUGGAGCUUUUAAACUUUAUUUUCAAUUACCAAAACCAAAACAUACACCUGGUAAAAAUGAUAAUCGUUUUCGGUUGGGGCGACCCUGGAGAAAAAUAAAUCCUCCAAGCUGAAUAGAUUAAAAUCUAAUAUUAGAGCAACAACUCAAACAAUCAAAACCUUGACAAAAUGACCCAGAAUCCAUCUGAUCAACGAACCAAGUUACCCUGGGGAUAACAGCGCAAUCCAUUUCAAGAGCCCUUAUCGACAAAUGGGUUUACGACCUCGAUGUUGGAUCGGGGUAUCCUAGCAG